AGUGCUUUAAAAACCAAAACAUGAGCAAGAAUUCUUCCAUAGACACUUCAAGGAAUUCCAGCGACUUGGGCAGUGAUGGUUUUAGUCCGUUUCUGUAUGCAACAGUCACUUCAAGAAUGACUUGUCAGCUAAGCAAGCAGAAUGGAAAUGAUUCAUUCAGUCUUGAGUUAAAACUGCAGCGGUGAAAACAUAUCCAAGAAAUGACUGCCAGGUGGAUAGACGGAGCCUGCAGUCCUGCAGCCACUGUUGACGUCCAGGGUCAUUUGCCUGGUGCCACCUUAGAAACUGUCCUGCUUCUGUACAGGACAUUGAACGAUAACAUCCUACAGGUCAGCUGACUGCUGUGUCACACUGCAUUCCUGCAGAUGCCAGCUCCUGCUCCCGCAGAUUGCCAGUCGAGAUGCGGCAAAGCAGAGGCGGACAGCUAGGCACAAAGCAACCGAGUUUUAAACUUUGAUUUUCCUGCUGCUGCCUAGCGUCUCACACGAAGACCAUUACCUUUGUGAAGCCAGGAGCCGAGAUGCGGUCUGAAUGUGCACGGCGGCUUCUGACGUGGCAACAUGAAUUCUCAGCUGGGCAAGUACUGCUCGGAGCUUGCUAACCAAACUGUGUGUGAUGGAGUUCGGCUGCUUUCCUACCUCAUAUUUGGGGGGAGGGGGUGCUUUUUGUGCCAUGCUGUUGUACCUGCAGGAGACAAUGCUUGGCAUGAUUUGUCUGACUCAGGCCUGGGCAACUCACCGCACUGGCACUGUGGGACUCCCCCAGCUCCCACUUAGGGCUGGUCACGGGACUGGUGUAACCCCCGACUCCUCAGUUAGAUCAUGCUUUAAAGGAGAAACCAGACUCAUUGGCCUAACUCAAUCCCAGUCCUUUCUGGAUGCAGGACUGCUGUCGCCUAUCUGGGACACAACCAGCCAUCAAGUGGAGCAUUGCUGGGGCUGCCGUCUGUGUGCAGGUGGAGCCUGGAAGAGUGACAGUCUAAUGUCCCAACUAAUUGUGCUUGCUAAGCACACAGUGGUCUGGAUUAGUCUUUCUGCCUGGCAGUCCUCAUCAAGUUGGGCUGAAAUGAGGGUGCCAGCAAGCCUGCCUUAGCCUUGGCUCCUUCCUGCACUGUGCUAUGCUAGCUGCUAGGAUGGGUCACUCUGACAACAAAGAAGGGUGCUUGACUUCUCUUGUGAUGCUUAGAGGAGCAUAAUUCUUCUUCCAAGUGCUCUCUCUCUCUCUCUCUCUCUCUCUCUCUCUCUCUCUCUCUCGUGUGAGUGUGUGUGUGUGUGUGUGUGUGUGUGUGUGUGUGCGCGCGCGUGCACGCGUGUAAAAUUCAUCAAACCAAAGAGCCUAAGAGAUAUCAUCAUGGACAUGGCUUUUAAUGAUUUGGGGGGAAAGAGAAAAAGAAAAAUGACAGCCCGUGGAGACAGCGAUUUGAGAAAUCAGCACAUUGAAGUGAUUGCCAAUCUGAACUACUGGGUUUGUGAAUCCAAGCCCUAAGGGAGUAGCCGGGUAACUGAGAAGGAGAUCGUAGAUAAAGAAAUAAAAAUGACAAGCGUAAUGGAGGCUCUGCGAAGGGACUGUCAGAGCGUCAGUUCAUGGAUGGCAAUCUCGCCAGGCGGAGAUUGAAUAAUUCAUAGAUGGAAACCACCCUGCCUUCACCUUCGCAUUUAAACCGGGCAUGAGCUGAAUCGCUAAUAAAAUUUCAAGAUAAAGUAAAAUGCCAAUUUGAAUCUGAAGAGCUUUUCAAAGCAGAUGUCGCAUCCCCGAAUCUUUUGGUAUCUUUUCACAAUUAUGCUCUGAGGACCGCACUUCAUCAGGAAGCACCAUUACCAGGGAAAAUGACUGUGAUUACAAUAGCAACAAUAGAAUGCCAUCGAAUGAUCUCUAAUUUACCUAAUUUGCUAAGACUGACUGGCUUAAAUACCCAUUGUGUGUUGCCAUGCCCGGUCCACGGAUCUAUCUCAAGACAGAACAAAAGUGGCGUGGUGUGUGUGCUACCUUGAUUCACACAGUCUAGGGGAGAGCAUUCUCCUAAGCUACAAUGUCUCUGUCAUCUGCUUUUCAUUUCUGUCAGCUUUUUGCCUUUUUUUUCUCUAAUGCUUAGCCCUAAAUGCCUUUUGAAGGAAAAUAGUGAGCCUGUCUUUGCUACAGAACAGCACCGACUUGUUAAUUUAUACACUUUAAAAAAAUUUAAAACAUACAAGCAUGUGUCUAUUUGAGGGGAGGAGAGAUUUGGUGCUGGGAGAAAGGUUUAACAAGCCAACUGAGAUGGCGUGUGUGUGUGUGUGUGUGUGUGUGUGUGUGUGUGUGUGUGUGUGCAUCUCUCUCUCUCUCUCUCUCUCUCUCUCUCUCUGUGUGUGUGUGUGUGUGUGUGUGUCUGUAUCUGUGUCUGUGUUUCCUCCAUAUGAAAUUCUUUCCCAGGAUUUGUGAUCCCUGUGGUAUUUUAAGAACCUCUCCAAUUGCAAAUUUCAGGUAGCAGAGCCAGCAAUCCCCCCACGUAGCUCUUUCAGAAAGGCUGUGUGCCUCAUUCCAUGAUGCAUCAAGGCUUUCAGGCUGCAUGGCUGUGUUUGUGCCUGCUCAGUGAACAGAAGUCUGUGCCAAAGAGAACUUUUGUCUGGCAGAUUGUGCCACUCAUCUUGGGGAGAUUGUGCCAUUCUGAGGAGGUGGCACGGACUAUGCAUCCUCCUUGGGGAGCAGAGCGGAGUCAUUUAGUGGACCAGGGGCUUCUGGAAUUGUCCUUCUAAUAGCAUGGAGACAGCAUGUGGUUCAUGCCAAUCAGCAAUACCUUUGCGUUUGAAUAUUUCAGUGAGGGACCGGAGGUAUGUAUGACUGCCAUUUGAGAAGGAGAUCCCAAAUCCCUCUCUUAAAACCUUGGGAUUUUGCUCGAGACUCAGCCCUGAUGAGUUCCUUCACACUUCAUUCACCUGGUCUACCCAUUCCUGUGUGUUCCCCCUACCUGCCCCUACCUUUUGGUAAGGUAAGUUGUGUUUCUAGUCAUUUAUAUAACAGGCAUGGGUGUUCCUUAUCAUCUGCUGUUAGUAGGAAUGUGCUUCUGAUGCUGUUUUUUCCUCCCAUCUUGUUCUCACUGUGCUGGGGCAAACUCCUAACUUUCCAGUUCCCUGUUGUCUGCGCACAAGAUUAAAAUGUGGCAUUUUGAAGCAUGACUAAAAUAUUGUGUUGUGUUUUGUUUUUCUGGCUGAGUACAUCUAAGGCUUUAAUAGUGUUUAAAGGAACGGGGGAAACAGAUUUAUGUCGUGAACACUUUGAUUAGAAGCAGUAGGCAGUUUUCUGACUAUUACCUCCGUUGCGACAUUGCUUUCUUUCGGUAGCCUGCUUUUCUAACAUUGGCUCCACUACUGUCGCUAGUCCAGGAAGAGGCUCUACUGAGUGACACCAGAGUGUGGGGAAGUCCACACUGCACCGACACCAGCAUUUCCUUCCCUGUUCUCUAAUUAAAACACAAUUUUGCUUAUUAGCAAAGGAUUGAACUUCUGACACCUGAAAAAUUUUUUUAAUAGCCAAAGUUUGAGCAGGAUAAUCAUUAAGUGAGCCAAUUGGUUUUUCUGUCCAAUAUUUAAGUAAAACAAGUACCUGCAAAUUAUCUAAGAAUAAGUGGAAAUCAGGUUUUAUAAUUUGGGGAGACUCAUCACAAACUACUUUUAGGUAUUGGGUAAGAAUAGCAAGUUGGGGAGCUGAUUUUUUAAUGACGAAAGGACUUAGAUAUCAUAGUCUUGGAAAAUGAGGUUGUAUUUGGUUUCUUUUGGCUGUAGGUACAAGAAUGUUAGUGUUUUGUAUAUGAUAUCUGUAAGACUCCUUACCGUGUGUCAGUGCUUGCCAACAAUGGUACUUUCGUUUGCUCUGCCUCUCAGAAGGCAGGACUGCAGAGUCACUUAAAGAUUUUAGACACCGCUGUUUCUUUGAAAUCAAACUUCCUUCACAAACUUACUGGAGUGAUUUUUUAAAUCAUGUUUUUUAAAAAACAUAAGUUCCUUAGGUAAUUUUUAAUUCACUAUUGACAGUUUUUCCCUGUUCAUAGAUGCUCCUCAUUUACAAUGCUCUAGAAAUAGAUGAAUCAGCAAGAGAGAUGGUGAGGGCAACUUUAUAACUGCAGACAGCUGAAAACAAGAGCCACUGUGAAAAUACACGAGCAAGGACGAAUUUAGGUGAAACCUAAGUCAAGAAAUAGCUCCACUGUGUGUUUUAGUUUUUGUUUAGAUUUUGAAAAAAAUAUUGUGGUGAUUGUUUAUAUUUUUUGUGAGUACCUGUUUUACAGGUACCAAUGAUGCCUUGCCUCCACGUUCCUAACUUCCCAAUGCUCCGGAGAGUAAGCUACAGUAGAAAGAAUGACUGAAAAUUUAAAUCAGUUCCUCAGAAACCCAUUUAUAAAACUCACAGACACAGAAACGACUCACACUUUAAGGCAGAACGUGUAAAUUUUGUCACUUGGUAAUUAGUUAUACUGGACAUCUUUUCAUGAGUGUAUUUUACAUUCCAUCUCAUCAUUAAAGUCCAGCUUGGAGCAAAAGCCCAAAUUGAAGUAAACCGAAGUUCCUCACAGAGAAUAUAUUAACCUUCCCUGAGCAUCUGCGAGCUACUUAGCAAAGCUAUGGUGGAUGCAUUUCACAGAUAAUCAAAUGAUGAUAUUCAUCAUCAAGCCUCAUGGCUGGAUUCCUCUAAUUGAAUUAUUUUGCAAGAAGAGCAGCAUAAUGUAUUUCCCUGAUUUUUAAGUGGGUAAUAAUGAAAACUGUCUUUACCAAAUACCCAUUUUUGUGUGAUCUUAGUCUGGUAUCGAGAAAAAGACAAGCAAAACCAAGAAACAGAUAGAGACAAUGCUUUCAUCAUCUGGUGAAUUAUUUUAGACAAUGGUAAGAUCAAAUGAGGUUGGUAUCUUAACAUAAAAAAAAAUCAAAUUAUUUGGAGGCAUGUGUGUCUGUGUGUGGGUAUGUACAUGUGAGUGCAAAUACCCUUGGAGAUCAAAGAGUGCACCAGAUCCCCUGAACUGGAGUUACAGACAGUUGUGUGGUACCCACUUUGUGCUGGGAACUGCACUUGGAUCCUCUGCAAGAGCAGUAUGUGUUCUUAUUUGCUGACUGAACUAUCUCUCCAGGCCCAAGGUUGGUAUCUUGUGUCUGUAAAGUAUCAACUCAAGCUUAGAUUACCAUCUCAGCUCUGCCUCCAGGCAAGUUCAGCUUGACCUCUCCCAAAUGCUGCUGUGAUUAUUGACAUUUAAGUACAUUUCUAAUUAAUAGUCACUAUACAUUUGUGCCAGUCUCAUAUCCAAGAACUCAGUUGGGUCACCUGAUAGACCCCCGGAGACUGUGCUUUCUUCCCCAAAUGUUGAGAUCUGCUCAUCCUAGUGAACUGUCCAUUAAUACUUUCUUUUUUCUAAUGUCUAAACAAGAAAAAAAAUAACUUAUUUUAUAUAGUAAGAUUUUUUUUAUUUUUUUCUUUAUUUAUCAAAAACUGAGGGAUUUUUGCCCUCCAAUUUUAAAACGCAAGCUCCUGAAGGUUGCACCAGACACUCUUGAUAUAUUCUAGAGACACUUUGUGCCACAUGAAAACAGAAGUGUGCUUUCUUCUCAAAAACUCUCUGUCUUGUUCAAAAUUUGCUUAAGAAGAGCACUGAAAAGUUUGAAUCUAGCUAAACAUUUCAGCAAGCAUAUCCUUAGGGAUGGAGUAUGUUGAUAUUGGCAACUUACUUUGAAAUGCAUCCAAAAAUAAAGAGAUUGAUGGAUGAAUAGAGAGGUGGUAUGUACCUAGUUAAAGUAGAAGCUUAUAUGGGGGCCUUUCUCCAUUCUCAGUCUCCAUUCCCAGGCCAGACUUCAUCCACCAACGACAGGCAGUCAGGGAGACCACUGGGAAUGCACCACCAUCACACUCCUGUACGGAAACAUGGGGACCACUGCUAAUGCACCACCAUCACACUCCUGUACGGAAACAUGGGGACCACUGUUAAUGCACCACCAUCAUACUCCUGUACGGAAUCAUGGGGACCACUGCUAAUGCACCACCAUCACACUCCUGUACGGAAACAUGGGGACCACUGCUAAUGCACCACCAUCAUACUCCUGUAUGGAAUCAUGGGGACCACUGGGGAUGCACCACCAUCGCACUCCCGUACCGGGGUGGAAGAUGUGUAAGGCACCCAUCAGCAGUUCCCAGGGCUGUUCUUGCUCCUGGGCUGGAGUUCCCUCCUCUUUCCCACAGGUCCAUGGGAAGGAACCUGUGGCCUCUUGAACCAUCAGCGGUUGGCCUGCUUGAACUCUUUGGUUGCUCCUCUUCCUCUCCACCGUCCCCACACCUGCCCUUUCUGCCUUCUCCCAACUCCUGGUUCCCCUCCAGAUACAAGAGAACAGAUUUACUCACUUCCUCCCAAGUCAUUCUGUUUUGUGAAUUUCACAGAAAUGGUUACAGGAGACAAAAAUGACAGAUUAGAGAAUCAUAUGACCUCUUAAAGGGAUUAAUUCAUUUUUCUUGAUCUCAAUUAAAACAUAAAUGAUUGAGGACUAUCCUCUCAAGACCUCAUUUCUCAUUCAUGUAUUCACUCCUCCCUGUCCUGAAGUGGCACCACACUUCCAGAGACCUGUGUCUGUGUAGUUCCUAAAAAGAAACCUUUCUGAGCUCCCCACAUCUGCGAGUUUCCUAGGCGCCAGCUUCUGCCGCUAGCUGUGGCCCAAAGCAUUUCCAUCCAGGAGCAGAACAAAGUCAUAUGGUCCUGUCCUUUGCUUCUUAGGGAUAGGAUGGAUCCAAGGCCUCCCAUUCCAACUUUGUCACCUACACAAGCAGGUCAUCAGCUUGUGGGUCUGUCCCUCAGGCCAGUGUUCUUCCUUGAGCUGAGUAUGCCCUAAGAUUCUUUAGAUAAGUAACUUGGGUCUAUGGUUGCCUGAACUACCCUCCCCAGCCCCCCCACCCUCAUUCUUUUGAAAUGCUCACGCUCCUGUUCUUCUGAAGUGUUAUUUGGAUAUGACAUACUGAGAAGGAUCUUAGGCUCUGCAGCAACUUAAGCUUAGAUUACCAUCUCAGCUCUGCCUCCAGGCAAGUUCAGUUUGACCUCUCCCAAAUGCUGCUGUGAUUAUUGACAUUUAAGUGAGUUUCUAAUUAAUAGUCACUGUACAUUUGUGCCAGUCUCAUAUCCAAGAACUCAGUUGGGUCACCUGAUAGACCCCCGGAGACUGCUCUUUCUUCCCCAAAUGUUGAGAUCUGCUCAUCCUAGUGAACUGUCCAUUAAUACUUUCUUUUUUCUAAGGUCUAAAAUUACCAACUCAGUGGGGAUCCCAGCAAAUGAUUAAGUUCUUCUAGGUAAGUGUCCCAAAUCCAUAUGUGUGCAUGCGCAUUGCAAGCCAGAGGUCAGCUUCUGAUGUCAGCCCUCCGGUGCUCUCUAAUUUUUUUUUUUUGAGACAAAGCCUCUCACUGGGCUUGAGGCUGGCCAGUUAGCUUAGGUUGGCUGACCAGUGAGUCCUAGAGACCUGCCUGUUUCUGCCUCCUGAGUUCCGAAAUUUGUUCUUCUUGUCCUCCUCCUUCCCCUCCCGACUCCUCUUCCUUUCUCUUCCCAUCCCUUUCCUUCCAUUAUUUACCUCCUGCCCUCCCUCCUCACUAACCCUGGUUGCCUCUGUCUCUGUCUGCCAGGAACUGUACCUUCAGCCCCUACCCACUAGGCAAGUGUUUUACCACUGAGCCAUACUCCUAGCCUAGUCUUUUCAUCCCAGGAAAUACAGCAGAUGGCCAAAUUUCUACCAGGGAAACACAUUCUCAGACUAGCAAAAGGGACCAUUGGCUAGGCCACAUAGCUCAUAGGGACACAGCUUGCCCUAUUGUGGCUCUUGUAAAGAUGAAGAGUGAGUGGAAGAGGGGGAUAUGUCUCCCUGAGCCUGAGAUGCUCUGCAUGUACAGACGCUGGAGUCCCAGGUUGCCUGCCUGGCUUCUCCCAAGGACCGUCCUCCCAAGAGUAAGUUAUAUAUGGGCUCCUGCCUCUCACAGGUGAAUGAGGAGGGACUCUAGGUGGGCUGAGUGUCCAUAUAUGUGGGGAAGGACUUUCCCGAUAUGCGAGAGAGCCAGGAGUGUGCAGGGGUGGGGUGGGGGGUGAGGUUGUAGGCUGUGCACCACACUGCUGAACAUUCUGGUAUGGAAUACUAUGCGUAAUGGAGAAUCUUAAUGUGAGUCUGACCUGAAAAAGGUGUAUUUGUGGGAGUAAAACUGUGCUAUUAGCAUGCUGACUGAGUGUGUGCUGUUUCUUACACAGUAUAAAAGACAUGGUGUGGCAGCACCCAUCUCUUCCCUCAUCCAUCUGGGUCUUACAAACACUGGCCUGUACCACAGCUGGAAGAAGCAUUUGGAGGUUCCUCUAGAUACCAGUUGGUUGUAGUUGUCUUUGUAGGUAACUAAAUUUUUAAUAUUAAAACACAGGGAAGAAAAAAAUCUAGAAAUCCCAUUCGAUAGUUGAGGCAUACAGUCUAUAUAGUUUUUGAAAGAUAAAAUACUAAAAUAUGAAUGUUUCAUGUUCUAGUCAUAUUUGCUCUAAUUAAUUAGAAUACUGAUUGCCUGCUUUCUUUCUUUCUACUGAUGAAUCAAAAAGGCAGGCUGGGUUUUGCACUUGAUCCAGUCCCCAGUUCUGUGGUCCUUGUGAGGUCCUCACCCGAUGCAUGGAAAGACAAUGGUUAUCAUCAUCACUCUGAAGAGGAUGCUCAGGAGCCAGGGCAUCUAAGGACAAAAUCUCCCUCACCCUCUGCUGAAUAGUAUUCAGCAUGAAACAGAUGAGCUUGGAAGAUGAAGAGUUAAGGAAUACUCAAGGAAAGGACAGUCAUUCCUUCAUAAAAUACAACUUAGAGUAAUUUCCCCAGUCGGAUUUUCAAAAGAAAAUUCAAGGGAUACAAAGAGAAAAGAUUUAGGAAAUACAGGAAAGUGAUGUGCCUAAGACUAUGAAAGUAUCUUGCAUCCACAAAGUUCUGCCUAUGUAUUGCUAACGUGAGGUGACAUAAGUACCAUAAGGCUGACGUAACGGGAUCUGGAGCCAGACUACCUGGAUCUGAAUUCUGACUCUUGGUUUGGAUGCAGUUUGCCAUAUUCAGAAACACACGUUGAAAGGUGGUGUUGGAAGAGAUUAAUGUUUUUCUUGUGAGACCAAUGUUCACAGGAAUGGCUUAGGUGGGCGGUGACAAAGCAAAGUGGCAGCUUUGCUUCGGCUGUCUCCUCCACACACAUUGUGAGGUCCUCACCUGAAGCCAGGCACAUGCUAGCACCCUGCUCUUGGACUUCCAGAACCAUGUGCCAAAUACACAGCAUCUCUUUACACAUGACUCGACUCCAAGUGUCUGAUCCAGCAACAGAAAAGACUAGCCUGAGUGAGGAUGGAAUUCUUUCCUUCUCCAUUCCUUCCAGGGUCCACAACAGUGUCUUUCUCACAGGGAAGACAUCAACACUCACUAAGUUAAUAUCUAUGAAACCAAAGAGAGUGCUGGCAGGUGGUGGGUUGAAAUAACAAAACUAAAGCCCAGAGAGGUUAGCAACUUGUUCCCAAACACACAGCAAAUUAGUCAAACAUCUGGGGUGGGAUAGGGGCAUCCAAACCUUAGGCCUGUUUCAGAAAAUUGCACAUUGCCGGAGAGCUGAUUUUGGUCAAAACACAGGUUUGUAUAAUUUGUUGCUUCUCUAAAGGAAAAACAAAAGAAUUCUAAGAAGUCACACAGUGCUUGUCCUGGUAAACACUGACUUUUCUUCUCAUUAUACCUUCUGCAUUCUGUGUUUUUUUUCACCCUAUGCUGUGAUUUUACAGGCUUUUCAAGUUCAUUAUUUAGGAUUAAUUUUUAUUUUAACUACGUCUGUAUGUCUGUGAGUUUAUGAGUGUGAGUGCUGAUGCCUGAGGAGAUCAGAGACUUCAAGUCUCCCUGGAGCUGGAGUUAUAGGAGCUUGUGAGCUGCCCAGUGUGGAUGCUGGGAACUGCUCUUAACCGAUGAUCUGUCUCCAGCCCUCAAGUUCAUUUGUAAGUUCCCACAAGUAAGUCUGUGGAGAUAGGCUACAGUCACUGUUUUCCUUGUGUGUUAGCUGUUCUGGAGAAAAGACAAGUGAUAUGUGAUUACACAUGUGCACACACAAACACACACCACACACAUAAACAUGUGAUCACACAUGCACUCACACAUGCACACACGUACACAUGCACCUAGGUAUGUGCACACACAUGUAAACAUCCUUGUAGCGGGGCAAGAGAUAGCAUGAUAAGAUAACAGAAGGGUAAGAAGAAAUGGGGAGAAUGUAUAGUAACGUAAGAAGGAAAGUAACCCCAAGCACUCUCCCUGCUUGUGGACUCUUAUUAAAUCCUGCACAUGUAAGUAAACUCUGAGGUAGAUAUUACAUUGCACACACCUGCCUUGUAAAUGACCUAAACAUUAGCAUAUCAUGGGUAUGUGUUAGAGAUAUGCCUCAGUCAUAGAAUGCUUACCUGGCACAUACAAGGUCCUGGGUUCAAAUCCUUAGCACUGCCAAAAUAAUCAGAAAUAAACAUAAACCCCCCCAAAAAACCAAGAAGUGUAAUAGGUCUUUUAGAGCUGGUGAGAUGGCAUGUGUUCUGAUCUCCAUAUAUAGACAGUGGCAUCACACACACACACACACACACACACACACACACACACACACACACACACUAUGUAAGUAAAUAAAAAUUAUACAUAUAUAAAGUGGGCCUGGUGAGAUGGCUCAGCAUGUAAAGGCAUUUGUCCCCAGCCCGACACACUGAGCUGGAUUCUCAGGACCCACACAGUGUGUUGUGUUCUUGCACAGCUUUAGGGUUUGACCGACUGGGGUGGUGAGGGAGUGAAGACAAGACAAACACACAGACAGAAACGGUGGGAUUGGGUGGACCGGACUCUGAGCUGGAGACGCCACAGCACCCUGGAAGCUCAACGUGUUUAUUAUAGACAGCCGAACAGGGAGUUGCUGCGUACAGCUGAACAAGGAGGCAGGGGCUGAGGCACUGCGGUCCUUAACUGGGCUGUGUCCUUGCCAAACAAUAGGGACCACUCAGGACUUCACUCCCUCCCGACCACAGUGGAAGGAAAGAAGUGACUUUUGAAAGCUCUCCUGUGAUCUCCACUCACUCAGCGUGGCACACACUCCCCUCUGAGCAAACAAAAAGUACAUUUUUUUAAAAGCUGGAAGAAAAGCCUUUUGAAAAAAAAAAAAGUAUGCUUCCUAAACUCUUGAACGGUGUUUUUUUUUUUAAAAAAACCUGAAUCUUUUAAAUGGCUGUGUAUUGUUCCAAUGUGUAAUCCCUCUAGUGGGAUGUUAAAAGUUUCUCUAGUGCUCUUUAUUAUACAUGCAAUCAGGUGACUUAUUAGAAUGUUAGUGUAAAACACUGAGAAUAUUUGGAGACUAAAUUGCCUGAUUUCUAGGCUGUAGUUUCAUUUUAAAACUACAGAUGUCUUUCUUCUCUCUUCUUUCCAAGCUGCACCCUGGAUGUCUUGGACCCAGAGACAAGGCAACAGACUCUUGCUAUAAAAGCAUGUUCCUGGGAGGGUGAGUGAUGGGAAGUGCAGCCUACAGGAAGUCGCAGGCAGGAUGGAGAGGAUGGAGGCUUUGAACUUGCAGAGGGUCUGGGACGUUUGGAGUCAGGGAAAUUAGGUUUGGUUCCUCCUAAGGCUGGGAUAAUAGAACCUUGGUAGGAGACUCUGAGGAUGCCUGGUGAAGACCCUGCACCCCUGUGGAUCAAGGAGGUGUAAGACCAGCAGAGGGGAUGGCUGUGACCAUACAUCCAUAGAAACCAACUGGGAACCAUCUUACCUAAAUUCAAAUAUGGGCUAUUUUCUACAACUCCAAGGGAUGGAGGAAGAAAACUCCUAAAUAGAAACAGCGAAAGACUGGGCACCAAACCUGCACCUGAUCAUUUCCUUAGGAUGUGUUUCUGCAAACAGAAUGAACCUGAGACUCAGAAUGACUUAAGGCUUUCUGUGCAUUUAUUUUUCAAGUCUAUGUGGCUUCUAUUUAUCUCUGACAAAAUGUUAUUAGGGAAAGGUGGGAGAGCAAAAUUAGCCAAGCUAAUUGAUCAUUAAGUAUAAUCGUCCAUUAAAUACAAAUUUCCAUUUAUAAUCUAUUUCAUCCCAGAGGAUUUCAAUUAUUAGAUUGCUUUAUUGAUACACCGAGGAGAUAAUCAUUAAGUGUGUAAACAAACAAUAUAAAUUUCCACACGAGAAAGAGAAGAAUAUUGAUCGGCUAUGCAUAUUGUCAGGAAGUCAUCUAGAAGGGUGAAAAUAGGUACUAGAAUAAACAGAGGCGAGUCUCAUCUCAAAACCUAUCUCCCACCUCUUGGCAAUUUCUCAAUAGUUUUAGGACAUAACCCCAUUUUGUGGUCAAUGGUUCAGCUGUAUGAACUUGGGAAAGUGGCUUGACUUCUCUGAGCCUCCAAUUUCUCUUUCAUAAGCAGUGGGUAAUGCUGAGACCUCAUCUUGGAAAGUUUCCAGCAAAAAUAAAAGAAUUAAACUUGGAACUUUCUAGAACAUUCCUGGUGCCCCAUGAGCCUGUGAACAUCUUCAGGAGCAUGGAGCACAAUGUCGAGCCUCUGGCCUUACUCUCCAACAUGCCCUCUCCCUGUCCCCACUCCAUAGGUAGACCCCAGCUGACAUAAGGGUCUUGUCACACUCUCAGCUCCCAUAGUCUUAUUUUUCCUGACUUCCCAGGUUUCUUUUCUGUCUGGAAUGAGGGCUUCACUCUUUUCUUGCAUUUCUUGCUGAAUGCUUCUCCUGGAGAAGUAAUAAGGAUUGCUGAUCGCUGCUUCUAUCUAGUCCUUGUCUUGGCAGACCAGCAUUGUUAAGAAGAUAAUGGCUUUCUUUGCAAAACCCUUCAGUCUGAGCUGGACACAACUCUCAGGGCCACUUGUGAUAAUUAGCAGAGUAUCUUAGUUGCUCCAGCAUAGGAAAGUUCCCUGAGGUCAGGGAGCAUGUACACUGUUCAUAUCAGUUGGUCCCUGUCCUCUGUCGCCAUCUUAGGUACUCAAUCAUGGUUUAUGUUUGUUCUGUUUGGUUUCUUGGUGCUAGGGAUCAAACCCAAGGCUCCUAUAUAACAGACAAGCACUCACCACUGAGCUACCAUCCCGGACUCAACCACCAUCUCCUGAAUGACUUCACUUGUCAUAGCAUAAUGCAGAGUCAGGGGACAGGACACCUCAUGUUAGUUUUGUUCCAAGCAUUCUGCCUUCAUUUCACUAGACUUACAUGGAGCAAACAAGCCAGAAUUGUGACACUUUCACAGAUUUCAUGAAUUGCAGUUUCAAAAAAGAUGCCAUGUGGUACCCAGGAUAGGUCUUUCUGAUAAGAUCAGUGGCCAGGAUGAAAGCCGCAAGAUACUGGGCAAAAAGUUUGGCAUUCAAAGUGGGGCAGAUCCUACCCAGCUUUGUAGAUGAGCUGUGUGACUUGUUUGCUGUUUCUGGGUCUCAUUUCUUAAUUUAAAAAAUAUAGCUGAGGGCUGGGGAGAUGGCUCAGUCAGCAAAAUGCUUGUGGAGCAAGUGUGAGGAUCCGAGUUCAAUUCUCAGGACCCAUGUGAAAAAUCUGGGUAGGGUAGCAUGUGACUGUACUCUCACAACUGAAGCAGAGAUAAGGGCGUUCUGAUUAGCCAGUGUAGCCUACUCAGCAACUUCAAGACCAGUGAGAGACCCUGUCUUUAAAUAAAAAAGGUGGACAGAGCCUAAGGUAGGACAUCCUAAUUUGUCCUCUGGCUUCCAAAUGCAUUGUAUCCCGAUAUUCAUCCACCCCUCAUAGACACACACACACACACACACACACACACACACACACACACACACACACACACAUCAUACCUACACACACAACUGUAGCUAGCAGCAGCUACCUUGUGAUGUGAGGAGGUCUCACCACAGCACGGAUUUCCAGUAUUCCACCACUUAGAAUAUCAGCUCCUAAGUAGAUGCUCAAUAAAAAUCUGUUGGCUAUAUAUGAAACGAGCUAAAGACUAUUGGUGAUGUGUGUCGCAGAGCCCGGUGUGUGCUGGAAAGAGCUGCUAGCUGUCAAAACUCCACAGAAGCAACAGGGGCUAUUGUGCUUCCCUCAGGGAAUCAGGAAAUACAAUAAAAAAAAAAAAAGGGCCGGAGAGGUGGCUCAGCAGGUUAACGUGCUUGCCAUUAGACCUGAUGGCCUGACCCCCAUCUCUCGGACCUACAUGAUGGAAGGAGAGAACCAAUUCCAGGAAGUUCUGCAAGCUGUCCUCUGCCUCUGCAUUCAUGUUGUGGCACACAUUACACCCCCAUAAAUAAAUAAAUGUAAUUUUUAAAAAUUAAAAAAAAUCACUUUGAAAGAAGUGUGAUGGGGCAGCAGCUGGGCAGUGGUAGCACACACCUUUAAUCUCAGCACUCAGGAGGCAGAGGCAGGUGGAUCUCCGAGUUUGAGCCCAGCCUGGACUGCAGAACGACUUCCAGGAGAGUUAGGGCUACACAGAGAAACCCUAUCUCAACAAACAAACAAACAAACAAACAAGAACAACCCAAAACAACAUAAAAAUCAAAACCCAAAAAGGGCUAUCAAGAAGGCUCAGUGGGUACAGGUACCGGCUGCCAAGCCCGAGCAUGGAGUUUGAUCACUGGGACCAUGUGAUGGAAAGAGAGAGAACUGACUCCUGUAGGUUGUGAAUGCUGUCAUUCAUUCAUACACACACACACACGCACACACACACACACACACACACACACACACACACACCCCCCCACAUGGAUGCCAUAGCACAUGCUACACAAAAAAUAAAUAAAUGUGAUUAAAAUGUUAAAAAGUAAAUGUAUGAAAGAAAUUAUUUGUUAUUAAGAAAGAAGUCCCAUGUCACAAAGGACUGUAAAGGAAGAAAAUGUCCUUAGAUUAGCUUUAAAUAUGGUGUAGACCGGUGUAGAAAGGGGCCUCCCCUUGGUCAUUCCCUUACUCUCUAGUUAACAUGUCCAGGCUGACCCAGACCUGGGGAGGGUGUCCUUGUCUAGGACAGAUGAGCCAUUGCCAUUACGGGUCCCGGUGUGGCCAAGUCUAUGUGGCCAUGGGAGGCAGAAAGACCAGGCGAUCUCCGCACACUUGCCAAGUGCCAUGCAAAUGUGUUCAUAAAAAUAAGCACAACCUAUAAUCUUGUAGCAUAUUCUGUCUAGGGAAGUUUUGUGACUGCAUUGUAAAAUGCCCACAGCACAUUCAAAUGCUUCUAUCACAUCUACCUAAUAGAAUGUUAGACCAAUUUUUAGAUAAAUGGUCCAAAUGCAUUUUAUUAGUGUGAAUCAAUGUUGAGUUUCUGAUAUUUUGCUUGUACCUCAUUUAUUAAGUCUUUUUUCUUGACAUACCUGGAAUCAACUGUGAAUAAGAGGUACAACAUUAUUCCUAGAACUGGGGAGACAAAUAAACUUUGGAAAUUUUCCAGUGAAGAUGGAGGUGGGGCAUGGCCAGCAUUUCUCGUGUGUGUGUGUGUGUGUGUGUGUGUGUGUGUGUGUGUGUGUGUGUGUGUGUGUGUGUGUGUAUACAUAGAAUAUUCUGGAGACAGGGUCUCAGGUUUCCCAGUCUUGAACUUACUAUGUAGUCAAAGAUGACUUUAAGCUUCUACCUGCCCAGUGCUAACAUUCCAGGCACACACUACCAUGCUCAUGUGGAGAUGGAGAUGGAAUCCAGGACUUUUUGCACACUAAAAAAAAUUCUACCAACUGAGCUACAUUCCUAGCCCAUAAUCCUGUAUUUUUAUUACAUCUAUCUAUCUAUCUAUCUAUCUAUCUAUCUAUCUAUCUAUCUAUCUAUAUCUAUGUACCCAUCCAUCCAUCCAUCCAUCCAUCCAUCCAGGGUGUGUGUGUGUGUGUGUGUGUGUGUGUGUGUGUGUGUGUGUAUGUGUGUGUUUUGUGUGGGCACACAUGCCAUGGCACAUGUGUAGAAAUCAGAGGACGAUUUGUAGAAAUUAGUUCUCUCCUUCUACCACGUGGGUCCCAGGGAUUGAACUCAAGUCGUCAGGCUUGGCAGCAAUCACACUUACAUACUGAGCCAUCUCACUGGCCCUCUCCUGUAUAAAUACAUAUAUUUAUACUGUGUGGUAAUUUGAGAGGUCAAGAAUGGAUAGUUUUCAAUUAGUGAAUUGAAUGAUCGUAUACCUAAUGAAAUCAUUGGAUAGUCUUUAAGCUUCAGGCAAUGAAGUCUCUAAGUCUCUAAGACACAGAGGGUAUUUCUCUACUCAAAUCUUUUCAUAUUCAGAAAAAUGAGUAGCCGACUUGAGUCUUUGGGGAGGUUUUCAUAUGGCCUAAUGACAAGACUAUUCCAAAUAAUAUAUAGAACUCAGUUGACUGAUCUUGUAGCAGAUAACCACUGAAUAUCCUGACACUGGUUCCUAAUCACUUUUUUCUUUCCUGCCUCUACUACAGGUGCUGGGAACAUAAAUCUCUAUGUCCCCUGCUUCCUGUGUCCCUGAAAGUGAGGACAAGAAAACUAAGGACCCUCACUGUUCAGUAACUACUGAGGUGAUGGGAGGCAGGGCUAUGGGUUCAUGUGAUGAAAGAUGACUACCCUGUCUGGUGGUACUGCUUUCUCCUUCUUCUAUCAAGUGCUGAUGUGGUGCUUGGAAUAGUGGUACCAGUGUCUAAUCACAAGGAAAAGACAACGGCACCCAAGGCCACCAGUUCCCAUUUCUUAUUGCUGCUAUUGCAUGUGCAUGUGUGUAUGUGUGUUCAUAUGUUUGUGGGUACACAUUGUGUGUGGGGGUGUGUGGAAGCCAGAGAUUAUCACUAUGCCUGCCUGACAUUAACAUGGGUGCUAAAGAUUUGAACUCUAUACUGCAUCCUUGUGUGCCAAACACUCUUCCUAUUGAACCAUUUCCCCACCUUCUAUGGGCCCUAAAUCUAGAGUUCUUGGACCACUACUGGUAGCUACUAGCCUCUAAACUCCUGAGAGAAUCUAUCCCUGCUCUGUUACGCCACUCUUGGUGGGUAUUAUAUUGUUUGCAGUUGACCUCAAAGAAUCUUGAGUUCACCCUAAAGAUGUCAUGUGACAGAAAAUACAUAAGUCCGAUCAACUGCAGUAAAUAGAUCACUGUCCUAUUUUGUAAGGUGCUUCCAACAGCUCUUGAGGACAUUGGUUCCUUUGUUGCCCUUCUCUUCCAAUUCUUUGACACCCUCCUCUCUGUCCCAUUCCUAAAUCUCUAGGUCUGCUUUUCUCUUCUUCUCAUUAUUAUAAUUAUUAUUAAUUAUUAUUAUCUUGUGGACCCCAAACUGGCUUCAAACUGGCUAUUUAACUGAGGAUGACCUUGAACUUCCAAUCCCGCCUCAUCCUCCGGAAGUCUGGGACUAGAGGUAUGCGCCCCCACGCCUAAUUUUAUGCACUGCUGGAGAUCAAAUCCAAGGCCUCACUCAUGAUACACAAAUGCUCUACCAGCUCAGCUCCAGCCCCACCUCUUAGGGCUGCUUUCUUCUUAAGGACAUACAUCUGUGUGUCACUUUUUCUGUAAGCUGUGCCCUGCACCACGGUUCUCCAGCAGGACACUUCUCAGUGUGGUCACUGUGCAGAGUUUCUCAUGAAGUUUCCGUUGUAGAUGCUGUGUCCCACUGUCCCUAUGUAUUGACACAUGUCCCAGUUUGUAUGUGUAUUGGUGGAGGGGGGCAGUGAUAACAUUAUUUUUCUUGGUUCAAUAUUAGCUUGAGAGAUGGGGGUCACUGGAUCUUCCUGUUUUAACUUCUUCACAAAACAAACUAUUGAGUCACAGGUUAAGUAAUCUGCUUCUACAUGUCAGUAACCCUGCAGAAAGAGAGAUGAACACUGGAUGGGAGAGAGAAAUUGCAUUAGUAGUCACUGGCCACCUAGUAAAUGGCAGUUUGACUAUGCUAUUUUCGGGUGAGCAUGGAUGUUCUAAUGAGUAAGGUGCUGUUUCUAUCAAGUUCUGGAAAAAUUUAUUUUUUAAAAUAAGACACAGGACUAAACACAAGUCAGUUAUGAAUGCUUAUUGCUCUUUCUGGGAGUUCAGUUCCCAGUAUUCAUGUUGCAUGGCUCACAGUACUGAUACCUCCAACUCCUGUCGAUCUGAUACCUCUUCAGGUACCCACAAAUACAAACACACGCACGCACGCGCGCACACACACACACACACACACACACACACACACACACACACACACACACAAACAUACACCAAAUAAUCCAACUCAAUUUCUUUUAGCAAGCAAAAUUAUCCUUGGAAAUAAGUUCUUAAGCCAGACAUAGUAAAGUCAUGUCUGUCACGCCAGUUCUCAGGAGGGUGAGGCAGAAGGACUGUUGUUCCAGGCCAGCCUGGGUUAUAUAAUGAGUUCCAGGCCAGCCUGGGCUACAGUGUAAGACUUUGUCUUCCACUCCCACCCAACUCUCACCAAAGAAAGAAAUUAAAUUCCUGCUAAAUAAAAUGAGAUGGCUGAGUUUUGUUUUCUCUAAGGUCAGUCCAGCUUCUUCCUUUAAAAAACCUGCUGCUUCGGGGGCUAUCUCAGAAAGCAUAUGUAUACAGGAGACUAGGAGAAUGCUCAUGGAAUGCUGGGGUCAUGGAAAGAGCAUGGAAGUCAUUCUCGGUGGUUUAGACCCGGUCAAAGCCAGGCCAAUUUGAGCAUUGUGAUAUGUUAUUUCAUAAAUAGUUUAAUCCAACCAAUAAAAAAGGGAGGCAAUAAUAUACAGGAUAAACAAACUGAGAAAUUUGAGUCAUCAAGGUAUUACUCCUCCAUAUACUUAAGUCCCAGAGGAAGUGUGCUGGCUGCAUUUAUGUCAAACAGCAGAAACUACAGUCAUCUGAGAGGACGAAACCUCAGCUGAGAAAAACGCCUCCUUAAGAUGGAGCUGUGGGCCAGCCUGUAGAGCAUUUUCUUAAUCAGCGAUUGAUGGGGAAGGGCCUAGCCCAUUGUGGAUGGUGCCACCCUUGGGCUGUGGUCCUGGGUUCUAUAAGAAAACAGACUGUGAGCAAGACAUGUAGGGCAAGCCAGUAAGCAGCACCCCUCCAGGGCUUCUGCAUCAGCUCCUGCCUCCAGGUCCCUGCCCUGUUUGAGUUCCUGUGCUGACUUCUUUUGCUGAUGAACAGUGAUGUGGAAGUCAACAAAUAAACCCUUUCCUCUCCAACUUGCUUUUGGUCACGGUGUUUCGUUGCAGCAGUAGAAACCCCAGCUGAGACAGAGGGGAAGGGAGUCGCUGUGCAGUGAGCAGCCUGGCAGACCUUGUCUUUGGAAAUGGACCUGAAUAUCACUGGAGGGGGUGCAAACUGAAGACACCCAUCACCUAAAGGCGUAAGCGGAACAGCAGCCCUGGGGGUUAUUCCUACCUGUGAUGUCUAGCCAAACAGGGAAGGCCUGUACAGGGAACUCGCACUCUGCAAGUAUGUUAGGUUCAUGGAGUAAGGCUGAGCCACUGUUUCCCACAGAAGAAAGGGGAAGAAAGUGGUGAUGCCUUGACACUGAAGGGGUUAGCCUGCCCUCCUCCAUCCUUGUGCUACUUUCCCUUGACACUGAAGGGGUUAGCCUGCCCUCAUCCACCCUUAAACUAGUUUCCCUUGACACUGAAGGGGUUAGCCUGCCCUCCUCCAUCCUUAAACUAGUUUCCCUUGACACUGAAGGGGUUAACCUGCCUCCUCCAUCCUUGUGCUAGUUUCCCUUAACACUGAAGGGUGUGAGAUUCAGGGACUGAAUCCUUUUGUUGUAAGUCCAUUUCUGAGCGCACUGGUGGAACUUUAAUUCUCCUCCCUGCAGAAACGGGAGGAUAGCAAGGUACCCAGUGCUGGUUUGCUGACUUCGAUGGUCCUGUUGUGGUUUUGUAGAAGAAUGUCCCUUGAUGAUAGGAAAACAUACACUAAGAUAUUCUAGGUGAUGGAACAACAGGCCACUAACAUACUUCUGGAUGGUUCUGAUAAAGAGCUAUCUGUGCAGAAACUCCAGCAUCUCUGCAAAUUGGUGAUAAUUUUGAAAAGUAAAGUAUGGCACUGGGUGUGAUGGUUCCCUUUGUAAUCCCAGCACUUGGGAGGCUGAGACAGAAGAACUGCCACAAAUUCUGAGGCUAGCCUGGCCUAGCUGUGUAGUAAAACUCUGUCUUUUAAAGGCAGACAAGAUCUCCCAAACAACCCCUCAAUCCCCAAAGAACUUAUAAACAGUAUCAAAGCAAAUAAUGAAUCAUUUAAAAACCAUUAUCUAACUCAGAAUUAAAAAAAAAGAUUUAUUUUAUUUAAUUUAAUGUGUAUGUGUUUUGCUUGCAUAUGUUCACACCAGUUGCUUGUAGAGGCCCUGGCAUAGGAUCUCCUGGAACUCGAGUUACAAACAGUUGUGAGCAACCAUGUGGGUACUUGGAAACAAAUCUGGGUGCUCUUAACCACUGAGCCAUCUCUCCGUCUCUCCCUGCAGUAAUUCUUAAAAGCAAAAACCAACAAUUUUCCAUUGUCAAAAAUAGACAACAGCUUUGUUUCUAUGGAAUUUGCCUGAGUAUUAGCACCAAUGCCACAGGGCACAAGAAUGUGGGUGCCACCCACGUUCAGGGUGGGUCUUCCCCCCUCAGUCCUCUCUGGAAAUACCUCACAGACACACCCAAAGGUGCACCUUAGGAAUGCCCAGGGUGUUUCUUAUCCAGUCAAAGUGACAGUCAAAUUAACGAUGCAUUGCAUUUGAUACAGAAACCUUGCCCUGGGCAUGUAGCUUAGUUAGAAGAGUGCUUGCCUGGUACACACAAAGCUAUGGAUUCGAGUCCCAGCACUGCAUAAACCAUGAGUGCUGGCUGUGCUUGUAAUCCCAGCAUCUGGACAGUGAAGGAAGAAAGAUCAGGAGUUGGAAGUCACUAGUUAAUGAGUUUCAAACCACACGGAGCCACAUGAGACCCUCAAACAAAAUAAGCCAAAAAAAGAAAAGAAAGAAAUCUUGCCUGGUUUUGUUGUCUGGCUGACAUCUCUGCUGACCCGCUGUCUGGGUUGUUUUCCCACAUGAUGGGGUUUGUCGAUCCCUUUCCAUUCCUACGAUGGAUUCUCUGACACUGAAGGGAAACUCCCUCAGACACUUGAUUCAGAAUCCAAUCCAGAUUAAUACUGGGUCCAUGUGAACCUCAGCCUCAUAUGAGAGUAGGUGAACUUGUAUCAGCAGGAAGGAACAUUCUAGAUAAGCUUCCUGGGAGGCAGCUAGGUUAAAGAAGAAGACUCCUGGGGUUUGAGAGUGUGCUGGCCACUUGUAUGCGCUCUUGGGCAAGUCACUUGAACUCUUAUGUAUCUUUUACUUAUGAGACAUGGAAACUGUGUCAUAUAACCAAUGAGAUGUUGUGUAUGAAGUGUCACAAGCUUCUUGUACUUGAGAAGUCUGAGCAUGCACUGAACACCCUGAGGUGACUGGUGUUUCAGUCUACCCAGAACAGGAUGGACUGAUUCUCUCCAGGCACAGCCACAUUCCCACAUUUCUUCAGGCUCAGUGAGAAUGCUCAGUAUUCCAUCAUUUGGGACAGGCCACGCUAUCCAGCAAUAACAACCAACUCCAUAUCUCAGUAGCUUUUAGAGCAACCAAAAGUCCAUUACUACUGUUUUCUUCAAGCAAAGACCUCCGAAGGCCCUGGUGACCUUCCAGGGAAGGCUUCCCUUUGGGAUAGUUCAGCCUCCUUCUUCAGACAGGGCUUUAUGGUGCUGAGGCAGGAAAAAAGGGGUACAGCUGAGCUGGAGUGAUUAGAUGCUUGAGUCAGAUAGGAAAUUCAAUUUCCCUCAUGUUGCAUUGGUAAAGACCAGACCUGUGGCCUGAUUGGAAUGCGAGAAGCUAAAGUAAUGUAAUCCCUUGAAUUUCUUAAAAGCAAAAAGCAAGUGAGACCCUGUGGCUCUCUGUCUGCUGGGAAGGGAAGUUCUAGUCAAGUGUUAUUAGAAUUGCCAAGUUUGUAAACUCCACAAAGCCUUUGGUGGCCACUCCAGUCAUCUCCACAAAUGAUUCCCCUCUGAAACAAGAGUGUAAUGAUAUCUAUUACAUUUAACCUGCUUUCUCCUCCCCCCUUUUCAUCAUUUUUGCAGUUUGAUGACUCAGAGCAGUGGCAUUGAAUCACACCAAGCAUAUACUAUGUGCUUACCACAUACUGAUGGAUGAACACCACUGUACAGAAACUACAUUUGAAAAGGCAAUGGAUUGAUAGAUCCAAAGUCACAAGGCUGUGAUGGAGCCAGAGAAAGAUUUUUCUUGCAUCCUGCCAUUAGCCACAAGAGUGCUUUUAUUACUUCCUUGAGAAAAGUUGGCCCCAGCAGAGUCAUUUAUGUCUGUUGGCAGUUUCCAAAGGGGUUGAUUUGUCUCAGGCAUUUUGUCCUAACUACAGAACACCGAUGAAGACAAGACAAUGACAAUAUGACACUUAGCACGCACUUGCCUGUGUGGGCUCGGCUGCCCUUUGGCUUGGCUGUACAACUGACUAACAAGGGCUCAUAGUAGAGGGUGUCUACAAAGAUUUUUCAAUUUUGGAACAACAUAUUCUGGAUCCAGCUAUUUUUGUGGCCUGGAAUGAAGAUGCAUCUAUAGUACAUCAUGUUCCAAAGACAAAAGCUCCAUUCUAAACAUGCCUGAGACAGAUACAGAAGGAACUGGAGUCCUCAUUGCCAUGGCUCUUGCUGUGGGACCAGCCUUCACUGCCAAUAUCUGGAUCUCUCAGAACAGAGGAUAACCUUAUGGUUCCUAGACUUGAGGUGGGCAUUCACACUCAUUCAAAGGACUCUCGAUUCAGAAAUUCUGGAUGGAGACUAAAAACUAAUGCUCUAGAUCCAGAUCCAAACCCCAAUGAGACUGAUUCAUCUAUUGGGGAGAACAGUGUUAGAACCCCUUGGACAGCUGAACUGCCAUCCACUGAAGCUACUGUUGGUUGGAUUUUCACACACUCCCAACUGUACACAGAGAAACCCCAUCUCGAAAACAAAACAAACAAACAAAAACAAAUAAAUAAACCCCAAAAUCCAAACCCAAACAAAACAAAGGCAUAUUUGGUACCCAUUGUCCAGCCUUCCCCAGCCCACCUCCUUUCCUAUAGAGCUUACUAUUCUACUCUGGUCAAUGAAAUCAACUUUUCUCAGCCUCCACAUCUAGGUGAGAAAAAUGCAUCCUUUGCUUUUCUCUGCCUGGCUUAUUCUACUAAAUGAAAUACCUCUAUCCAUGUUGUUCCAGAUGAUACCGUCAUAUGAAUUUGGCUAGAUGACGUUUUGUUUUGUAUAUAUACCCAUUCUUCCAUAAACAGAACCCUUAGUCAGAGAAUCUCAACAUUUUUUUUCCUCUUCAGAUGCAGUAGGAUCACACCCAGGGCCUCACCCCUGCCAGGCAAGCUCUUUUCUACCGAGCUAUAUCCUCUGGCCCAAGAAUCUCUACUUUUAACUUGGAGGCAUGGUCAGAGCUAAAUGGGGGAGACACGCAGGAUAGGAGAGGGAACUAGAAUUUGUAGAACAUCAGAUAUCAAUUCCACUUUCAAGUUUCCUGCUCUCUUUCCUUAUCCCUACCCAUAGAACCUGGGCGAAUUCUUUAUUCUAAACCUCAAUUCGUCUCUGAACUUGGGGUGACAAUAUUUAUCAGACAGACUUGUUGUCAGGCCUACUGAUGAUGUUAGGGACUCAGAGACAGCCUGAGUGUCAGCCCCUGGGGAGUGGGAUGAAUACGUGUCUCAGCAUCUUCUGUAGCAGAAAAACACAACAGAAUAGAUGCACAAACACCAACUCACACAAGCCCCGAAAAUACAGGGGCUCAGGGGGAAAAAGAAAGGGACUGAAUUACCUGUAGAAAUUGGACAAUUCGAAAGUGAUGCAUAUCAAGUCCUGUCCAUUAUGAUUAUCUAUACUACCAUUGGAAUGGGUAGGAGAACAAGAUCUAGACACAAAAGCUUUGGAAAUAAAUACAAGAGCGUCUGUCAGGCUGGUGAAGGUCUGUGUCAGACAAUAGUAAGCUAAGGAGCUGACACCCUGUGGACAGGACAGUAGCAAGCAGGAGCCUGGUGGCUGCUCUCUAAUGCCUAUUUAUUUCCUCAUCUACAUAAUUGAGGCUAUGCUUUACAUAACCACUAAGAAUAAUUAAUGCCCCAACCUCUUUCAAAGGUGCUGUCGGGCAAGUUCUCACUAACAUUAUAUGACUGCAAAAGUCACUAGAAACUUCUGGGGCGUUUCCCUGAGGAAAGGAGUCUUCAUAAAGGAUUUGGAGCAAAAGUGUGUGUCAGAGAGAAUGGCAAUGAUCUAGAAUGUGGGAAACUCUCCCCUCAGCUGACCCAAGGAAGCUAGUUGUCCUCAAGGUUCACGCUGUCCUUCAAGGCAGAGAAAAAUGGCCUUGGGAUAUGCAGGCUUGUGACGGUUCAUCUUGAUUAGGUUUGGAACCACCAAGGGAGACACACCUCUGGAGGUGUCUUCAAAGGCAUUUCCAGAGGGGAUUAAUGGAAGAGAGGAGACCCAUCCUGAAUGUGGCUGGCACCAACCCAUGGUUGGGAGCCUGGCUGAAUAAAAAAGAAUAAACGAGCUGAAUAUUAGCUUUUGUUUCCCCUUGCUUCCUGACUAGGGAUGCGAUGUAACUAGCCACCUCUGGCUUCUGCCACCAUUUCCCGACUCUGAGAGACUGUGCCCUCUCAAACUGUGAGCCACAAGGAAGCCCGCCCUCCUGAAGUUGCUUUUGUACAGUAAUUCAUCACAGCAAUGCUAAGACAAGCUAAUACAUAUGCUAAUACAAUGCUACUACAAGCUAAUACAUAGGCUAAUAUAUAACUUGGCAUUAAGGCCAUUAUACCCUAAGAAGAAGGAGAAAAAAAACCUGUUCAAAGAAAGCAGUCUGUAAACAAACAUAGAGGUACUCUAAGACAUUAUCAGAAUGGUUUAUAAAAUAAUUUUUGUUUAAAAGAGUAAUUACUUCCUAAACCUCUGCUUCAGCUUCCCUAUACGCUGCUCAACAUAUGCAUAUUUUAGAGAUUGUUUUGAUUGGGCAAUCUCUUACAGAAAAAAGAUUAUGAAUUCAGUUUUUCCUGUUUCUCUUUCCUAAAAACAAAGAUAUUCUGAUUCUGUCAUCUGACUUGCUUCAAUAACAGUGUGUCUAGCACAGAAAACCACAGCCACACAUCUGCUGCUAAUAAAAGUUUGCGAUCAGUGAUGCCCACUGCCUUUCAAAACUUAUUUCCUUCACUCUCACACUGGGCAUGGACCUGGCCAAAACUUGUUUCUGUUGUCAUCAGACACAAUGGCAUUGCAUUUAUUCCAGGAGGACAAAUGAACAAACAGAAUCUGUGUCAGCCACUGGAGGUUAUUGCAUGUUUCAGCGUUGAUGACAAGUUGACAUUUUCAUUCAUUAAAUUGCUGAACAUGCAAGUUUAAGAAUUUUGUAACAUUCUCAAUUCUUGGUAAGACUUGUUUGCUAACUUACAAGGCUAAAUGACAUUUGAUAAGCAAAAACACAUUCUCAGAGCAGCAACCUUAAGAUACUUUCUUUCUUUCUUUCUUUCUUUCUUUCUUUCUUUCUUUCUUUCUUUCUUUCUUUCUUUCUUUCUUUCUUUCUUUCUUCAUUCUUUUUUCUCUUUCUUUCUUUCCUUCCUUCCUUUCUUUCCUACCUUCUUUCCUUCCUUCCUUCCUUCCUUCCUUCCUUUCUUUCUCUUUCUUUUCACAAGUAACAUUGAUUUAGAAGAACUGUGAGCUUUGAACCAGGCUUAAGGAAGAGGCCACUGUCUAGUCAAGAACUUCAGCAGGCCCUGGUCCCUGCUUGCAGGUCCUUAGAUAAAUGAGUUAGGGACAGUGUGUGUGUGUGUGUGUGUGUGUGUGUGUGUGUGUGUGUGUGUGUGUAACCCUUACUCUCCCAUAGAGUGAGGGGAAAGUAAGAAAUAUUCCUAAUAAGCUGGGAGUGAACUUAGCAGCCAGAAUGGGACAGUGAGCUGUGUAUUAAGAAACCCCAGAAAGAGAACAAAGUAGGCCAGAGAACGGAAACUUCAGCAUGUCCAGACAAUCUCAGCAUUUGUUUCCAUAGACUUCUGUGUUAGGCAUAAUCAAGGGGUUAUUUCCCAUGAGCAUGCGGAAGGAGAAGGAGGAAUGGAGGAGUGAGGAUACAUUGCAAACUCCUCUACUCAGCAGCUGAGGGUAUCAACUGCAACCCGAAAGCGUAUUUAGGCCUGGGCCCAGCUGCAGCUCAGGGGAUGCCUUGCAAGUGCACAGGGUUGCGGGGAGACAAGAGUUAUCAGGAAUUCCCAAUUGAUUGUAACUCUGGUGUCAUCUGCAACCUCAAGAGGGUGAGCUCUGGAACACUUUGUCUAUGCAUACAGGGAACCAAGGGACACUGAUCAGACUCUGACCAGCUCAAAAGCCAACAGAAAGAGGAUCCAGAAGACUUCCAGAUCCUGUGGACACUAACAGAGCACUUGGCAGGUGCUCAUGGGACCCUUUGUGAAAUAAUAAAUGAUGGCCAAGAAAUAGAGUGAGGGUCAAUUUGCUGCCAUACUUGACUGUCCUCAGCCAGAUGCACCCUUUUCAACUCUCCCUGGGGCUUCGGGGGAGGCGGCGGGGAAUCAGUGACAGCUUCUCUUUAGAACACAGUAGUGAAAACACAAUACGAAGGAGGCCAUGGAGGGCGGGCAAUGCAGACAUAUGCAAAAUAGUAUUCCAGGCAGAGCAAAGAACUACAGGCAGGAGCAUGCUGGCCACUGUGGAGGGACAGGGACGAGGCCUGAGGCUGGCACUGAGUUGCAACAAUGGAGGAACCAUGAGGUCCAGAAGGUGAUGGAGUCUGUCAUGAAGUGCAUCAUGGUCAUUUUCCUCUCCUUUCUUUAAAUCUCAGUUAAAAUUGAGAUGAAUGUAAUUUGAAUGGUUGCCCAAAGGAAGAGAGGAGAGAAUGCCUGAUGGAAGGCCAUACAGCUUUCUUUGCAUAUAUGGAGAUGCCUCAUGGAAAGAAGCGAUUCCCCUAGAGGCAUGCUGUAUAGCCAGUAGCAGAAAAGCAGGAUCCCUCCCUGGGGAUCUUAGCCUCCUUAAUAAAUGAGUUUAAGAAUGGUCAAAAUCAGAAGCUCAAGGACAAUUUUAAAAGUUUAAAAGAACAACCCCGGGACAGGCAAGCUAUAAAUCUGAACAGCUGCCCAGAGGAGGAGAAUGGGACAGAGAAGGACAUCAAAGGCCACACCAUUUGAGCUAAACCAGCAUGGAGGUCAGACCCAGGGAGGGCAGGCAUCACAUGGUGGGGAGGGGACCUUUAAGCCAAGUGCUGAUAAGCGUGCUGAGAAAAGAGACAGAAGAAAGGACUGUGCUUUUCUGGGUGGUGGAGACUUAGGAAGUGUGCAGACUUGGGCAGCUGCCCAUGCAGCUCUGUGAGAGAGUGCCUUUGCUGAGGCUUACUGUCAGUUACUCUUGCUCUGAGCAAACAGCUGAGGAAGUGACUCAGGGAGCACGCAUGUAGUUUUGGUUCCCACGUGGACAGAGAUCAUCACAGUGAGGAGGGCACCAUGGCAGGCUGCAGGGAGAGGACCCGGGAGUGUGGGAGGAGGAAGGGAUAGAGAGUAGGGGGGGGGAUGCCCCAGCUGCUCACACUGAGUUGGCAGUCAGGAAGCAGAUAUGGGACAGCAAGCGGGCUGGCUAUAAAGCUAAGUGAGUCACUUCCUCCAGCUAGACCCCUGCCUCCCGAACAUUCCAUGUCCUCCCCAAACAGCCCUAGCAGCUGGGAAGCAAGUGAUGAAACACCUAAGCCGGUGGCUGAUACUUCCCUCAAACCACGAAGGUUGGGGAAAUAUGGACAAGUAGUAGGAAGAGCUGAGGAAUGUGCUCCUUAUAGGCACCCUUCAUGGAGACUUCUUCCUACACAUCAGAUCACACUCUCCAUGAGAAUACUUACAAGAGGUUCAUUCGAACAAAGUAAUAGCAUUACGAAAUCCAGUGGGCAACUUGAAAUCUUAGAGGAUCUGAGCCCUUGUCCUACUCCCGUCUCCAGCGGACAGCCAUUGCCCCACAGAGAAGCUUCCUGAGGAGAGAGGAGUUCUCAAGUCAUACUCCUCAUGGAGUCUGCAACUCGAGGGGAAUCGUGCUGACCCAGCCAAGAGGAAUCCAAGGAGGAGUUUGUUAAUGUCAACAAGUCAUUCUUGGCCCCUGCUUAAGAGCCCAUUCUUCCAUCUUCUGACUCAAGUGUCAAAGAGGGCACCCCAGGGAGACACCGUGAUUAUUCUUGCUACGGAUUUGAACAAAUGGCCAGAGGCUGCCUGCUGGCAUGUGGACACUACAGCAAGUGUAAAGGAGAGGAUACUUGAGUAAGGGCAUGCCCAAGUCUCCUGUGAGGUCAUGGAGAAUGUCUCAGUCAACAGAGUCAUUCUCCAGGGCCACCACUUCGUCUCCAAUUGCCACCCCUGCUGGGACAGUAGAGCAAGGAAUGGGGUUGAUGGGUGCCCAGUCUUUACAUCCUGGCUUCCCUUCUCUGAGACUGGACACAGUACAGCAAGCUUCCCACUCAUUCUGGAAAGGACUUCAGACUUUUGCCCCCUCCUCCAGUAAGAACUAGUCUCUCUCUUUCUCUUUCUCCCCUCUCUCAUUUUUUUUCUUUCUAAAAUCAUCCUGGGACAAAGCCAGACAAAUUGGACUGUUAACUAGUAUCUGUAACCAGACAAGAAGAAACUUGUCUCAAAGGAAGUUUAAAGGUAGCUUCACCAUCAGGCUGAGAUUUGCAAGGAGAGAUUCUCAAGCCUUGAAUUUCCAUGGGGAUCCCCCUGCAAGGAAGCUGCAGGCUCCAGCCUUGCAGGCGAAGGGGGACUUGACCACCAAGAUGCCUCUAAUAAGUGACAAAUUCAUGUGGGUAACAACUUGACAUUUUUUGUGUUCAAGUCUCUGUUGAAAUAGAAUGUGUAAAUUAAUAGUCUUAGGAGACCCAUGUAGAAGAAAACCAGAAUGGGGAUCAUGAACCCCAUUAGCGCACGCAUCUCAAACCUCUAACGAGAAGAUCUCUGGGGAAUGGAGACAGAGAAGGAUGCUCAGGGAAUGCAGAACACUUCAAAAGCUCACAAGCAUCCAUUUUACAAGAUGUGUAGCAGCACACUCCACUGAGUGUAUAACAGACUUAAAGAAUGAUGGCUGGCCCUGUCUGGAGAGGAAGCAAUAACUUCUCUAAAGAUACUGGUUACUUUGACAAGUUAUCUGUUUGGGUUUUGAGUUCUUUGGUUUGGUUUUGAUUUUUCUUUUCUUUUCUUUUCUUUUCUUUUCUUUUCUUUUCUUUUCUUUUCUUUUCUUUUCUUUUCUUUCCUUCCUUCCUUCCUUCCUUCCUUCCUUCCUUCCUUCCUUCCUUCCUUCCUUCCUUCCUUUUUCAAGACAGGGUUUCUCUGUGUAGUUUUGGUGCCUGUUCUGGAACUCACUCUGUAGACCAGGCUGGCCUCGAACUCACAGAGAUCCACCUGGCUCUGCCUCCCGAGUGCUGGGAUUAAAGGCCUGCAAUACCACCGCCCGGCUGUUUUUGGUUUUUCUGUAACUGCCUUUGGUUUUCCACACUGCCUUAUGUUGUAACUCAAAAUCUAUUGCUCCUAUCAAACCAGUUUCCCCAAAGAUGAAGACCGUAAUAACUACUACACUUAAAAUUAAGAGCAGUCUGCUAAGUCCGAAAGAGUCAUUGAGAUUAUGGGGGCCUGGGCAGUGGAGAUGGAGAAAAUGCUUAGGGGAAAAAAAAAGAUCCACUUUCUGAUUAUUUUCUAAUAAAACUGUUAAUUCUUUUGGAAAAUGGAAGAAAUUAAAUACAGAUUUGUUUAAACCCAGUUGUAUACUAUACAAUAGAUUGCUUUAAUCCCGUUCUGACAUCUGUUAUUAAAUAUUAUUUCCAUGGAUAGAAGUCAGCUGAGCUGAAGUUGUCCAUAUUUGCAGCACUCUUCUAUAGUUUUACUGUUCAAAGCUUGAGAAAGUUAUAUGCUAUAUGACACAUUCAAAUGUUUCACUUGCUAGAAAAAUCUACUCAGCAUCAUAAUUAUGGACCUGGGAAGAGUUGGGGGUGAGAGGUGAAUUAAAACACAUUGUAGAGAAUUCCAAUGAACUAAUAAAAAUAAACACAGUUUAAAAAUUAUCAUAGAAUGUGGUGAUAUUUGAAUUGUGCUGAAAUGUGAUUUUAUUUGUAUGUUAAUAAAUAAAGCUUGCCUGGAGAUCAGAGGUCAUAGCGAGCCAGGAACAGAAGUCAGGCAGUGGUAGCCCACGCCCUUAAUCUGAUCACAUGGCAGGCAGAGUCUCUGUGUGGUCAAGGACACAGCCAAGCGUGAUAACAUGAGCCUUUAAUCCCAGUACCAACCAUAGAGACCUGGAGGUCUGUAUAGACAGGUAGUGACGAGGAGGUCAUGUGGCUGGGCUUGGAGCCAAUGAGAAGGCAGAGCAGAAAGGCAAUAAAAACACAGGUUACACAGGAAGAAGCUCUCUCUGGGGAAGCGACUGUGGUGAGGGGGAAAGAUAAGGUAGCUGUGGCUCUUUGCUAGUUCUCUGAUUUCUUUGGCUGUUACCUCUGUAUUUGGCUCUGUGUUUCUUAUUUAAUAAGACUGUUUAGAAAUUUGUCUACAAUAGAAAGUUAUACUAGUAGCAAUCUUGAGUACCUACUAUGAGGUACUCAAGUAGUUAUCUGUAAUUUAUCUCUAAUCUGUCCCAGCAAUCUUGCCAAGCAGUAUUAAUAUUCCUAUGUUUAGAUGGUAAAAUAGAAACUUGUCAAAGUUUUCCAGGGUUAAGUCAAGCUUCAGCCAGGAUUAGCAAAGAAGUAUAGAGGCAGGCAGGAUAGCUCAAUGGCAGUAUAUGUACUUAGCGUGGUGGUCCUGGGUUCAACUCCCAGAACCAAAAUAAAAUGAAACGGCCUAGAAUCAAGAUUUGAACUUGAAUCUUACUCCUAACCCACCAAAAUUGUUAUUUAACUUUAAUAGACUUCCUUACCCUCACAUGAACAUAAAAUGAGGCAUGAUUUCUUCUGCAUUGCUGGAGUACCUGCUAUGGUCCAAGGCCAAGUCCAGGGACUUGAGGCACACAGGCUUCAGAGCCCAUUAUAAGGUGGUCACAGCUGCCAGUGUGAGCUUCACAACAAGUUUUCAAAUGUGUUGACCUAAAGAAGCAAUAAUGGGACCACUAAGUCUUAGGGGUGCUUUAGUGUAGCUCUUCUUAACCCACAUGAUCAUGAUGAAGAGCACUGCAAAGCCAGCCAGAUGGCUCAGCAGAUAAGGGCGUCUGUGGCCAAGCCUGAACCUGAGUUUGUUCUUCUGGACCCACAGUGGAAGGAGCAAACUGACUUCUGCAAGGUGUUCUCUGACCACAUGUGCACUAUGACACACACACACACACACACACACACACACACACACACACACACACACACACACACAAAAUGUAAUUAAAAAAGAAACAUUGCAGAUUUCAUUUUAAAAAUAAACUGUGUACAUGAGCUCACAUAACACAAUUUCAAAUGUUAGCUUGCAGAUACCUUUAAUCUUGUUUGAGACAGGGUCGGUCUUUCCUUGGCUUGGAAUUCUACCCCAUAGGCCACUCUGGCUGGCCUGUAAGCUUCCAGGGGAUCCUCCUGUCCCUGCGUUCCUGGCUUGGUCAUUAUGGGCACACGGCACUGUGCCCAGACUUUUAUGUGGGCUCUGGAGGUCUAAACUCAAGUCUGGCCAGUUAUGAGGCAUUUGAUUUACUGACUGAGCUACAGCUCAGCCCCACAGUUUUGUUUCUGUGUUUGCACAUUAAAAAUGGGCAGAGUGGUGCAUUGGAGGGCAGGAAUAUAUUGCAGUUUUGGACUUCUCCAUGCCUCAAUUUCUUCAUGGAUCAAAUAGAGGGUGACACUCUCUUAUAGACCUACGAUGAAUACUCUCAGCAUGCUAUCCCAGAAUGUUGUUGAUCACUGUUCUAGGCCCACCUGUGCUUUUGUCUAUCAUCUGAGCUCACAGGACCUGGCCCAUUAGAAUCUUUUUUUUUUUAAACUGUGAAACUACUUCCCACACUUUCCCAGUCAUACCUGGUUCUUCAUCCAGAACCGCCCAGUAUCAUCUUACCGAGGACAUCUCCAUACAGCGCCCAAGUCUCCUUGACCUCUGCAGUUAGGUUUAGCAGGCACUUUCUCUCUGCUCUCGGAUCACUUGCCUCUCACUUGCGGCACCAUCUUUCUUCUCUUUGAAUUAUUAAUUAUCAUCUGUGCCAUGGCUUUGUUUCGUUUCCAGUCUUGGGAUUAAACCCAGAGCCUUGCCCCUGUAUGCGCUAGGCAAGCACGCCACCAGUGAGCUUUAUUUCCAGCCCUAGGCCAUAUCUUAAUGAUCUCUGCUUCCAUCCCAGUCCUCAGAACAACACUCCUACGUGAUGAAUGAGAGAAGAAAUAGAGUGUCAUCAUUGAGCACGAGGACGGGGGUUCCUCUUCCUUCUCCAGGAUUCACUCAGUAAUUAGCUCAGCUGUCACAAAGACGUGUAUGCACAGCAAGCCAUUGAAAUGAGUAUGUUUUCCAGGGAGAAUAUGACUCUUUACCACUUGAUAAAAUUCCUGGUAGGAGUCUUAGUAAAGAAGGGAUUUUGAGAGAAGAUAGUCAGAUGACAUUCCCAAAGAUUGGGCUGUACACGUCUCUCUUGAGGCAUGAACAUUUCAUUAACACAAAUACACACAAAUAUUUAUUAAGUCCUCCAAAGCCAUGCACCUGUUAAUAAAACAAAUGUCGACCACUGUAUUAAUCAAUGCAUUGUAUAUUAUAAAGCAUGUGACUAUAUAACAUAUAAUUUUUAAGUGAGCACAUAAUUUUUAUGUUUUUUUUUUUCCCCUCUAAGAAAUGAUCACUUGCAAAAUGUUUAAUCUCCGUUGAGUUGCUGUACUUUCUGGGAGACAGAGGAAAUCAUGCCUUUCUGUCUGUAGCCUAUUCCCUGACCAUGGUGAGCUCCUUUCUCUCCCCAGGUUCUGUUACGGCACCAACCAUUCUUAAACUGGGAGGAAUCUUGACUCUGCAGUCCUGCAGUCUCCGUCUCCCCCCCCCCCACCCCCACCAUCCCAGAGGUUUGCCGUGGAGCUGUAAGCACAAUAAUGUGAAACUCGACAGAUUACUGUAGAAUUCUUUGUUUGUUUUCCUUGUGACCUAACUCUCAUAAAAUUUAUUUUGUUUUUUCUUCCAAGCUUCUAGGGCAUGUGGUCAUAUGAUUCAAAGUAGGGAAAACAUUGUCAAAACAGUAUAAUGGAAUUGUCAUUUUUUAUGAUGUUUUCAUUACAUAAAAAGCUUCAAUGUGCAGCUCUAACAAUCUAGUUUAUCUGCAUCUGAAAGUAUCAAAUGUAAUGCUAUAAAAUAGUAUUAGUAUUAUUUAGUAUUCUCGGUGUUAUGGUUUUUAUUUACAUCCUAAAGAAAAGCCAAUAAAUACAAUAUUAAAGUUUGUUUGGAAAAUGAAUGAGAAACUUGCCAGGUUAAACACACAGAUACCUCCACAUCACACAUACACACCACACAACACACCAUAUACACACACACUACCCCCCCCACAUACACGCCACACAUACACCCUACACACCUGAUAGCAUACACAUACACACCAUACACACACACACCACACAUACACACCACAUACAUACACAUAUAUCCCAAUACACAUACCACACACCCACACACAUAUACACAUACACUAUUUACACAUCCCACACACACCACACACAUCACAUACACACCAUACACAUACACCACACAUAUACACACCAUACACACACACACAGACACACCACACACACACUACAUAAACACACACAUAUCUCCAUAUUCACACCACACACAUAUACACAUACAUCACACACAUAUCACACACAUCACACAUGCAGUACACACACAUAAAGAUCAGAUAGGCAUUUCAUUCUCUAGAAGUUAACUAGUAUUAUUUCAUAACAAUAAGAUCAUCAUAGAUUUUGUUUUCUUCUUUGUGUAUUGCUGUAAGUCCCCUAAUAUUCUACAAUUGCCAAAUUCAUUUAGCAAGAAGGAUGCUUUACAAUACUUGUAGAUGAUUUACAGGUUUGUGACUUAUAAGCUUCCAAAUAGAAACUUGAAAAAUAUCCUUUGGAGCCAUUGGCAUUUAGAAGAAAACUGUAUGCUAUUUCUAAAUCUGGUUUAAACUGAAACAUAAUAUUAAUGCUACUUUGGUCUCAUGCAAGAAAAAUAGCAUUUUAAACCAUGUGCUUCUUAUUAGAGACUCAUGCAGAUUUUAGACACAGUUUGGACUGAGGAUCAAAAGAGGCUGGGCAUGAGUGCAGAGGAUCUUCCAAAAGAGAGGAGUCCCAGAGGAGAUGAUGAAAGUCCCACUGUCUUCACAGGAGGCAGAAAGAAAGAUAAUACAUCAGAUGGUGGGUCUGUCUGCAUAAGACUAAGGCUGUGGGGAUGGUUCAGUGCUAUGCAAGACUGAUGACCUGAGUUUGGAUCUGCAGACCAUGCAUAAAACCCAAAUUCAGCAGUCUAAGUGUCUGCAGUUCCAGCAUGCCUACAGAAAGUGGGAAACUGAGACAGCAGAAUUACCAGAAACUCACAGAUCAGCUAGCAUGGAUACGAAACAGCAAAGAGGCCUUCUCUCAAAACAAAGCAGGAAGUGGAGACAGACUGUUGUGGGAUUUCUGCCAUUUGGACCAGUGACCAAUGGGAGCGGUUUGGCACUAUGGGCGUGGUCUUCUCUGAGGAAACAUGGCCCUUUAAGAAUUCAUGGGGGGUGGGGGUGGGGGGGGUGGGGGGUGUAUGUCUCUCUCUUGGGCUGGUCGGAGCAGGUAGCUGGCGAGCAUCAGUGGAGAAAAAAAAUAUUUUUGUUAUAUUGUAUAUAUGUUCCUUCUUCCACUUAAGAUAUUUUUUGUAUAUUGAUACAAAUGUAAAUUAUUUUUGUUAUACUGUAUAUAUGUUUCUACUUCUGUUUAGGAUAUUUUGGUAUAUUGAUACAAAUUAAGGUUAUUUUCAUCAUAUUGCGUUAUACAUUUCUACCCCUGGUUAAGACAUUUUUGUAUAUUGCCACUAUUUUGAGGUUAUUGUCCUUACACUGUACAUCUGUUUCUAUUUUGCCUAAGAUAUUGUAUCCACAGCUUGUUUAUUUUUAUAAUGUGAAGCUUAGUCCUUAAGGUAUGUUGGGUUAAUAAGAAUUACAGGUUAACAGUUACCAUGUUUGCCAAACUUAGAGUCCUGUUAGUUAUAUUUUCUAGGCAUGCAAAGAUAUGUUCUAAACAGAGAGGUGAUCUUCAGACACUUCAAAGACCUACAGAAUAUGGCAUUUAAAAUAACUUAGAAUUCUUUUGAUGUGAGACAUGUCUGCUCCUGGCAGCACCAAUCUGCUCCCAAGAGGAUGAUGGGCACUGAAGACACUCUGUAUGGAGUUUGUUUUCCUUUUGGCAAAACUAGCCUAUUGGGCAAGAAACUGCCCUUGUGCUGUGGGAUAGUCUGUAUGUCAAAUGCUCUGAUUGGUCAAUAAAUAAAACACUGAUUGGCCAGUGGCCUGACAGGAAGUAUAGGUGGGACUAACAGAGAGGAGAACUGAGAGAACAGGAAGGGAAGAGAGGCACUGCCAGCUGCCACCAUGACAAGCAGCAUGUAAAGACGCCAGUAAGCCACAAGCCACGUGGCAAGGUAUAGAUUUAUAGAAAUGGAUUAAUUUAAGAUGUAAGAACUAGAUAGCUAGAAGCCUGAGCCAUUAGGCCAAACAGUUUAAAUAAUAUGUCUGUGUGUUUAUUUUAUAAGUGGGCUGUCGGACUGACAGGGUUUGGUGGGAUCCAGAGAGAAAACUCUCCAACUACACCCUUGCCUCAACUGCUGACAGUAAGCACGCUAUCCAAUCUGGACAAGCAGGACACAAAAGCAACUGCUGAACUUUGCCAAGACAGGGUAGGACAGUCCUUCAAAAUUUCCUGCUGCUGAAAAGGUCUGUCAGAUAUUUAGUCCUAUACGCCAAAGUUGCCCCAAUGUUACAGAGGAAACUUGGGUGACUGUCUAGGCAGCCAACUGUUUCUGUCAUUCCUUGCAAUUUUUGAAAGUUGCUAACUUGCACUUCCUACUUACUCAGGUAAUAUUAUUUUUCUUCUCAUGUCUUUGAUGGGGUUGAAGACUAGAUAAUUAUAGUCAUAACCUCCUGAGUCUUAUCUAAGGACAUAUUAGGUACAAGACUUAGAUUCUUCAUGAAAGGACAACUAUUGGAAUAAUCUCUUAAAAAUUAUCUAUUACCUAUGGUCUGGAUGUCUAGGAUGUAUUUCUUACUUGAUAAUUAUUCUUGUAUGUAGUUUCAAUUUUUGUUAAGAUUAUUGUCUUUCUUUACUUCUGUACAACACAUGUUAAUAGUUCUUAUGCAUAUAGUUUCUAUUAUGUUAGGAUUAGAACCUUCCUUUUUAUUUUAGACAAAAAAGAAGAAGUGUGGGAUUUCUGCCAUUUGGACCAAUGACCAAUGGGAGGAGUUGGUCUUCUCUGAGGAUACAUGACCCUUUAAGAAUUCAUGAGAGGAGGAUUGCUCUCUCUCUUGGGCUGGCCAGAGCAGCCAGGAAGCAGCGGAGAAGCAUGGCUUGCAGUUUGGUUCCCAUAGCCCUUGGGCAGAACAGCAGGACAACAACAGCUGGAUGAGCAGAGGCAUCUACCUUGUUCUGUGUUUUAAGCAUGCCUAACUGAUUUCAUCCUUUAAUAAACCUUGCCUGAUCCAAGAA
This is a long non-coding RNA of Peromyscus californicus insignis, 36496 nucleotides long. RefSeq lists it as uncharacterized. NCBI's taxonomy places the organism in Eukaryota, Metazoa, Chordata, Mammalia, Rodentia, Cricetidae. The transcript has 2 exons. The record is from RefSeq and is a predicted model, not a curated record.